Non-coding RNA from Schistosoma rodhaini, 48 nucleotides. The record is from Rfam. Lineage: Eukaryota; Metazoa; Platyhelminthes; Trematoda; Strigeidida; Schistosomatidae.
AUCCAGCUGACGAGUCCCGAAUAAAACGAAGUGGCGCACGUCCUGGAU